AUGGCAACAUUUCUGCGCAUGCGCUUCGUGGUCAGCGUCUUGACCUGACGGAAGCAGGCUCUGCUGGCAGGACAGAAAAGAAGGGCGGGCUUUUAAAUCGUCACCCUGCUGGCGGGGACUGUGAAGUAUUCGGACACAUCCUUACCUUACUGGCGUACUCAAGCAUGGCCAGACCUCCCAUGCACGGUUCGGUGAUUGUCCCAGACUGGCAUGAGACGGUCGAGGGUAAGGAGUACUUAGCCUGCAUCCUGCGCAAGAAUCGCCGGCGGGAGUUUGGGUUGCUUGAACGCCCGGUGCUGCCCCCUUCCGUGGUCAUUGAUACCGCCAGCUAUAAGAUCUUUGUGUCCGGGAAGAGUGGUGUGGGCAAGACAGCACUGGUGGCAAAGCUGGCCGGCCUGGAAGUGCCUAUAGUACACCAUGAGACCACUGGACCUUUGAGGUCUCCCUCUACAAGCAGUGAGACUCCUUUCUCCUGGCGAGGGCCAACUCUGCCUGGUCUACCAAGGACUACUGCAGAGCAAGACUGUUUACGUCCUGAGUCUGAGGAGUCUCUCAGGCAUUCAGACCACUGUGGUGUUUUGGCCAGCCAAGCUGAAGGCCAGCGACUGUGUUGUCAUGUUCCGUUUUGAAUUCUGGGACUGUGGGGAGUCUGCCCUCAAGAAGUUUGAUCACAUGCUGCCGGCUUGUAAAGAGAAUGCAGAUGCCUUCCUCUUCCUCUUUUCUUUCACCGAUCGUGCCUCCUUCGAAGACCUUCCUGGACAGUUGACUCGUGUAGCCGGUGAAGCUCCUGGGCUCGUCAAGAUAGUUAUCGGGUCCAAGUUUGAUCAGUACAUGCACACAGAUGUGCCAGCGCGAGACCUCACAGCCUUCCGGCAGGCCUGGGAACUGCCCUUGUUCCGGGUGAAGAGUGUGCCAGGGCGGCGGCUGGCAGACGGACGAACACUGGAUGGCAGGGCUGGGCUAGCUGACACAGCCCAUGUGCUC
Molecule: RNA transcript, 984 nt
Organism: Mus musculus (house mouse)
Lineage: Eukaryota; Metazoa; Chordata; Mammalia; Rodentia; Muridae
Gene: Cplane2
Gene name: ciliogenesis and planar polarity effector 2
Exons: 7
Source: RefSeq, marked validated